This 253-nucleotide ribosomal RNA is filed under the name uncultured bacterium. RNAcentral's name for it is "partial 16S ribosomal RNA". It matches the Rfam family "Bacterial small subunit ribosomal RNA", at positions 524 to 776 of the family's 1533-position model. The record is from RNAcentral.
UACGUAGGGGGCAAGCGUUGUCCGGAAUCAUUGGGCGUAAAGAGCGUGUAGGCGGCCCGUUAAGUCCGCCGUGAAAGCCCAGGGCUCAACCCUGGGAUGCCGGUGGAUACUGUCGGGCUAGAAUCCGGAAGAGGAGUGUGGAAUUCCCGGUGUAGCGGUGAAAUGCGCAGAUAUCGGGAGGAACACCCGUAGCGAAGGCGGCACUCUGGGCCGGAACUGACGCUGAGGAGCGAAAGCGUGGGGAGCAAACAGG